CCCUUCAAACAACUUAAUCGUGUGGAUCUUCUAAUACAAUCAUCACAACUGUCACAAUAUACAAAAAUAAUAAUAACAUAUUCUAGGACUCACAAGUCAAUACUUUCACAAAAAUGAUUUACAGGAGAAAGAAGCGCUUUGCCAGAAAAAUCGUGCAUGGUACCGAAUUGUUUAAUCAAUAGACGUUGGAACUUAAUACUCAAGUUUUUGCCGGAAUAUUUGCUAGUGACAUCUUUGAAGGGGCAGUUUCAGAAUGGAUUCAGAAGUUGGGGGAUCAUUUGCAUCUUCAAGCUCAUGCAAAUAGUAACAGGAGAUGGUGAGACCCUGAGAUGACAAUGGACACUGGUCUUUGAUCUGUAGGUCUCUGCUUGUUAUUGUUAUAUCUGUUUUUGAAGAUAAUUUCUACGACCUAAGUCAGUUUUAUUAGGAAUAUAGGUAAGCUUAUGGUUCUGGUAUUUAUAGAGUUCAAGUGAUAGGGUCAUUCUAGGCUAUGUGCACUAUGCCAUCGUAAUGAUCAUGGCCAUAAUGUUUGUAUUAUCGUAACUUAUAUUAUAU
RNAcentral lists this long non-coding RNA (555 nucleotides) under Daucus carota (carrot). Its description in RNAcentral is "long non-coding RNA (DCAR_LNC000627)". The record is from RNAcentral. Lineage: Eukaryota; Viridiplantae; Streptophyta; Magnoliopsida; Apiales; Apiaceae.